This 296-nucleotide long non-coding RNA is filed under the name Malus domestica (apple). Its description in RNAcentral is "long non-coding RNA (MDOM_LNC012712)". Lineage: Eukaryota; Viridiplantae; Streptophyta; Magnoliopsida; Rosales; Rosaceae. The record is from RNAcentral.
AAAUCUAAACAAAGGUUCAUAGUCAUCCUAAGGCCCUAAGGCAACUAUAUAGUCCAUCAAAUGAAUGCAAAAAGUUUAUGUUAGUAGUAUCAUAUACUCUUGCUUUAAAAACCGUUUUAUAAGCAUAGUGGGAGUAUUAUAUACAACUAAAAUUCAAUCAAAUGGACCAAUAGUUGUAAUAGGACCAAAAUUGUUUUAAUAAAGAUUAAAAUGAAUAUUUAUUUGUGAUGAGACCUAAAAACCCUCAACCAAACCAUUAUUAAGUUGAUAAGCGUGAGAGUGCUUUGAACACUCUU